RNAcentral lists this long non-coding RNA (446 nucleotides) under Cricetulus griseus (Chinese hamster). RNAcentral's name for it is "lncRNA (ENSCGRG00000024439.1)". Lineage: Eukaryota; Metazoa; Chordata; Mammalia; Rodentia; Cricetidae. The record is from RNAcentral.
AGUUUAUUUACAAAUUCUCCGUACUGGAGUAAAAGUAUCAGAGUAAAAGUGUGCUGGAGAAGAGAAAGCCCUUCGCUCUUUGUCCACACCGAAAUGAGGUGCUGCAAGCUUCCUGUCUCCUCUCACCAGACAACAAGUCCCCAGCCAUCAAAUGGCAAGCCCUCUGUGGGAAACAGGAGUCUAGUUCCUUGACACCCGGACCUGAGCUACACUCAUGCAGCUCAUUGAAAGUCCAGUGCACUUGGUGGGAAACAAGCGGUCCUUUUCCAGAAUCUACAGGAUUUGCCUAGAAUGGUAAAUCUAGGUAGGACUAUAAUGGGGGGACUCUAAUGGGGGUAUUAGGAAUUAGGAUGCCUAAAAGCAUUAGCAUGCUGACAGUGUGUGAAAUGGGCCUCAGGCCCCACUACUACCCCAAGAACCCUGCCAUCUUCAAGGGCAUCCUCUCC